GAUGUAACGCUGGCGGCGUGCCUAACACAUGCAAGUCGAACGAAGCACUUCGAUUUCCUCGGAAUGAGAAAGUGACUGAGUGGCGGACGGGUGAGUAACGCGUGGGUAACCUGCCUCAUACAGGGGGAUAACAGUUAGAAAUGACUGCUAAUACCGCAUAAGCGCACAGUAUCGCAUGAUACAGUGUGAAAAACUCCGGUGGUAUGAGAUGGACCCGCGUCUGAUUAGCUAGUUGGUAAGGUAACGGCUUACCAAGGCGACGAUCAGUAGCCGGCCUGAGAGGGUGAUCGGCCACAUUGGGACUGAGACACGGACCCAA
This 319-nucleotide ribosomal RNA is filed under the name uncultured bacterium. RNAcentral's name for it is "bacterial SSU rRNA". It matches the Rfam family "Bacterial small subunit ribosomal RNA", at positions 32 to 334 of the family's 1533-position model. The record is from RNAcentral.